This is a non-coding RNA of Pangasius djambal, 74 nucleotides long. The record is from the annotation of a GenBank genome assembly. Lineage: Eukaryota; Metazoa; Chordata; Actinopteri; Siluriformes; Pangasiidae.
GGAAGUGGUAGCUUGGUGGUUAAGACGUCGGCCUCCUGAUCAGAAGAUUGAGAGUUCAAAUCCCUCCACUGCCA